Molecule: long non-coding RNA, 479 nt
Organism: Hypanus sabinus (Atlantic stingray)
Lineage: Eukaryota; Metazoa; Chordata; Chondrichthyes; Myliobatiformes; Dasyatidae
Exons: 3
Source: RefSeq, a predicted model, not a curated record
CAGACAGUCCUUAAACAUAAUGACUCAGAGAAUAUUGGAUUAAGCGGAUCUGUGAGCAUUGUUGAUUCUACUUUAAUUAUCACUAAAUGGCCCUUACCUUUUGCUCAGAUGUGACAAAUACAUUGGAACACUUGAUGCUUGCCUCUGGCAAAGUUAUUGUUCCUGUCCACUUAAACAUUCACUCUGACCGCAUUGCAGAUGAAAUGAACAUAGAUAUAUGAGAAGGCAAAGAAUCACUUGCAGAAAUGAUUAGUAACACCUGAUCGAAACUGAAAGAUUUCAGCACCAAUAUUGAAGAUGCUGCCACCUGCAAGAUCAAACAGAUGUACCUUUGCAGGGAUAAAGUAACUCACACAGAUGGUCUUAAAAGCUUCUGGUGACGAAGAUCCACAACAUCCACAAUUAAUGCUGUGAGGGCACACCGUAUGAGUACACAAACAUCGCAACUUGUAACCAUGUUUGAUGUGCUAGGUGACAUA